Molecule: long non-coding RNA, 399 nt
Filed under: Scleropages formosus (Asian bonytongue)
Lineage: Eukaryota; Metazoa; Chordata; Actinopteri; Osteoglossiformes; Osteoglossidae
Description: lncRNA (ENSSFOG00015030850.1)
Source: RNAcentral
AGUUAACAGCACAAUGAAAAUGUUCAAUUGCUGAAUGCCUUUUUCCACCUUAAAAUGACAAGAAUUUAUUCAGAAGACAUCGGAGCAAUUACGACUCCUGUCAUAGAAGUGCCUGUAACAAUAAACUUAGUGGAAGAAGGGAAGAUUCGCUGUGAAGCCCAGACUGGAGAUUACUGUCUCUUCUACAAGGACCACAGUGAAGUUCCAUUCAGGACAGUGGAAUAUAACACACAAUAUAAAGUCUGUAUCUUUCGUGUACCUGGAGAGGAUAUUUUGGGAGAGAGGGCUGUUGAGUCUGAAACAGAGGUGUUUUUAAGCUGUGCUGUUGGACUAAACUCAACAGGAGGAACACGUCUCUCGCAGCGCAGUGAGGUGAAGAAGAUGGUAAUAACAGGUAAG